UAUGUAAUUAAAAUUAAUUAUUAAUUUAGACAUAAAUUUUUAUUAAUUUUUUUAGCUAACAUAACGGGGGACUUUGUUGACACUUGUAUUACCUGAUCAAGCAAAUUACCCAUACCCAACCAAUGAAAAGGUAACCCGUAGCGUUCUCCAUUAAUUUGAAAAUUUUUGUUGAUUAUAUAUAUAAGCUUAUUGAGAUUUCCGCCAAACAAAGGCAAGAACAUGUCUCUUCUUUCUUCUUACAAUCCCAAACCACAUGUGGUUCUCUUUCCUUUUAUGUCCAAAGGCCACACUAUCCCCAUUCUCCAUCUAUCUCGUCUACUCCUCGACAACGGCUGCGAGGUUACUCUCUUCACUACCCCCGCAAAUCGUCCGUAUAUCGAUCAUUCUCUCUCCGGCGAUGAUAUUACCAUCAUCAACCUUCCAUUUCCCACAGACAUACCCGGAAUACCAACCGGAAUUGAGAGCACCGACAAACUCCCGUCCAUGUCUCUGUUCUUACCUUUUGCCAGAGCCACAAAACUCAUGCAACCCUACUUUGAAAAGACUCUGCAAACACUUCCUCAUGUCACCUGUAUUGUAUCGGAUCAGUUCCUCCAUUGGACGGUGGAAUCUGCCACGAAAUUAGGCAUUCCACGGCUGGGAUUCUUUGGUAUGAGCAACUACGCCAAUGCACUCAGCCGAGAUGCGGCUGUCAAUGGGCUACUCUCAUUGCACGAGUCCGCUGACGAACCCUUUAAUCUCACAAGCUUUCCACGGAUCAAGCUCACCAGGAAUGACUUUGACGACCCGUUUAAUAAACGGGAUCCUUCAGGUCCUCUAUUCGACUUCAUUAUUGAGACCGUUAUAGCCAUGUCCAAUAGUUAUGGCCUUCUAGUGAACAGUUUCUACGAGCUCGAGCCACUGUAUGUAGAUUAUUGCAACCGCGAGUCUAAACCCAAAGCAUUCUGUGUUGGACCCUUGUGCUUGACCCGAUUACCAAUUAUGGAGCCUGUAUUGCACCAGGAACGUAGAUGGAUUCAAUGGCUGGACCAAAAACUGGCACAGGGAAAUCCAGUUCUCUACGUUGCAUUCGGGUCCCAAGCAGAAAUAUCAUCAACGCAGUUAACCGAAAUUGCUUGUGGCCUUGAAGAAUCGAAUGUGAGCUUCUUGUGGGUGGUGAGAAAGAGUGGAAUAGAAUUAGGCUAUGAAUUUGAAGACAGGAUAAAGGAAAGAGGAAUGGUAGUAAAAGAAUGGGUUGAUCAGAAACAGAUUCUUGAACACGAAAUCGUUCAGGGAUUUCUGAGCCACUGCGGCUGGAACUCGGUGUUGGAGAGCUUAUGUGCAGAAGUUCCGAUACUGGCAUGGCCAAUGAUGGCAGAGCAACUGCUGAAUGCAAAAAUGGUAGUGGAAGAAAUUAAAAUCGGGUUAAGGGUGGAAGCAGUAUAUAGGUCAGGUAACAAAUUUGUGGAGGCGGAGAGCUUAAAGAAUAAGGUGAAAGAACUUAUGGAGGGAGAAAAGGGGGACGAGGUCAGGAAGAAGGUGAAGGAGGUAGCGGAGUCAGCAAGGAACUCCAUGAAGGAGGGUGGCUCGUCUUGGAAAACACUAAACGAACUUAUUAAAGAGAUUCAUUUGAAAAAUGGGCGGACUGAAUAAGUUCAAUUUCCAUAUAUAUAUAUAUAUAUAUAUAUAUAUAUAUACACGCACGCUUAAUUACUUUGAAGUAAUUUUUAUCUCAUUGCAAAGCUAAGCCAGUCGAGAAAAAUAGGGUAAAGAAGUUGUAUACGUAGCAUGUUUGGUUAUGCUUUCCAACUCAAAAUUAUCUACAAAUAAUAG
This 1812-nucleotide long non-coding RNA is filed under the name Olea europaea subsp. europaea. The record is from RNAcentral. Lineage: Eukaryota; Viridiplantae; Streptophyta; Magnoliopsida; Lamiales; Oleaceae.